GAUUACAACACUAACUUCUCUGUAAUCGCGGCUG
Petrimonas mucosa is the source of this 34-nucleotide regulatory RNA element. It matches the Rfam family "S4-Bacteroidia ribosomal protein leader". The record is from Rfam. Lineage: Bacteria; Pseudomonadati; Bacteroidota; Bacteroidia; Bacteroidales; Dysgonomonadaceae.